Small nuclear RNA from Procambarus clarkii (red swamp crayfish), 193 nucleotides. RefSeq annotates it as U2 spliceosomal RNA. The record is from RefSeq and is a predicted model, not a curated record. NCBI's taxonomy places the organism in Eukaryota, Metazoa, Arthropoda, Malacostraca, Decapoda, Cambaridae.
UUUCCUUUUGUCCCCUUUUACACUACUACAAACAUAUAUAUGUUCUUAUCAGCUUAAUAUCUGAUACGAUCCCCAUGUGGGAUCCUCGAUAUUAAACUGAUUUUUGCAACAUGUCGAAGUGCUAGGAGCUUGCUUCACCUUUGCUGCGGAUCGGCUCGGUAUUGCAGUGAUAUUCUGCGUCAGUCACGGUGUA